Molecule: long non-coding RNA, 1895 nt
Filed under: Sus scrofa (pig)
Lineage: Eukaryota; Metazoa; Chordata; Mammalia; Artiodactyla; Suidae
Description: lncRNA (ENSSSCG00045003571.1)
Source: RNAcentral
UUCGCUCGCGGCUGUUCUGACUCGUCUGGGUCUCCCUGACUCCGAAACGCUGGCUCUGGGCCGAGCGACUGUCCUGUUAGGUCCGGGAAGAGUCGUUUUCCGCGUGGCGCAGAGGCGGGCCUGAGGUUCGCCACUCGGCACGGGCUUCCCCGCGCCCGGCCUGGGAUGGAGACCGUGGCGCCCGCGACCCCCUCUUCUCCCGCAGCUCCGCCCGCAGAGCUCGAUGGCGGCGGCCGCGCGGAGGACCCGCCUCAGAGGUCUCCCGUGAGAAGGGCAUUUCCCAGGCAGGACUCCUAGGGCAGAUCCAUCGUUCAUGAAGAGCCACCCCUGUGAAAUGUGUGGCCUCACAGACAAUUGGCACUUGGAUGAGCAGCAGCCAACACAUGACAGGCAGAAACUGCACAGAUUUGUAGAAAUGGAAUUGCUGCAAAAAAGUACUGCAUGUUCAUGCUGGAUAUGACAAGCUUCCUUUUCUACAGUUUGUUCCAGUUUGUACUCAAACCAACAGGAAAUCAUGACCGCAGGGAUGUGGCAUUGUGCUCAGGACGAACGAGGGCAGUCUCUUCCCAGGUCCUGCAGAGGAGCCGUGGAGCCUGCUGUGCACAACUGUUGAGGGAUCAUCCUCAUUCCAGACACGCUGGACUCACAGGACGAGGGGGCAGGACGCUGCAACCGACUGCUGGGCACGUGCCUCUCAGGACAGCAUCCGCCUGACCCGCCACUGUGGCUGGGAAGGAUGAGCAGCAUGCAGAACUUCCCAAGGAUUAAACCCAAGCCACAGAAGUGACAACUCCAGGAGUUCCAAUCAUGGCUCAGAAGACACCAAUCUGACUAGUAUCCAUGAGGACACAGGUUCAAUCCCUGGCCUUGCUCAGUGGGUUAAGGAUCCGGUGCUGCUGUGAGCUGUGGUGCAGGUUGGAGAUGUGGCUCAGAUCUGGCGUUCAUGUGGCUGUGGUGUAGGCCAGCAGCUAAAGCUCAGGUUCAACCCCUGGCCUGGGAACUUGGAUGUGCUCCGGGUGUGGCCCUGAAAAGCCCAAAAAAAAAAAAAAAAAGGGAGAACAACUCCAAAUUCUUAUCCACUAGGCCAUCAGGGAAUUCCCAUAUUUCCUUAUUUGUUUUCACUUUGUGUGAUAGUUAUUGGAGUUAUGAAGGAGCACUCAAUUUUUAAAAACGCAUUCUAGGAGUUCCCAUUGUGGCUUAGUGGUUAACAAAUGCAACUAGGAACAUGAGGUUGCGGUUCAAUCCCUGACCUCACUCAGUGGGUUAAGGAUCUGGCGUUGCUGUGAGCUGUGGUGUAGGUUAAAGAUGUGGCUCGGAUCCCGCGGUUGCUGUGGCUCUGGUGGAGACUGGCAGCUAUAGCUCUGAUUAGACGCCUAGCCUGGGAACCUCCAUGUGCCACGGGAGUGGCCCUAGAAAUGACAAAACACACACACACACACACACACACACACACACACAAACCAUUCUAAAGAGGUUAUGCAUUUAAUGUUACACAUGGGAUUAAAAGUAAAAUAACCCACUAGUGUACAUUAAGAUGGAUGAAACAGCAAUGGCUAUGAAAUGAUAAAUAAUGGAUGGCAGGCUGGGAAAAGGUUCACCCAGCUUCAUGACAGCCUUUUCCAUUUUUGCAUAUUGGAAAUAGCCUAAACAAAAGAUUUAUCAUUGGAGUUCCCUUUGUGGCUCAGCAGAUUACAAACCUGACUAGUACCCAUGAGGACAUGGGUUCAAUCCAUGGCCCCACUCCUGGGUUAAGGAUCCAGUGUUACCAUGAACUAUGGUGGAGACAUGGCUCAUUUCCCAUGUUGUUGUGGCAGUGGCUGGCAACUGCAACUCUGAUUUGGCCCCUAGCCUGGAAACUUCCAUAUACCAUGGGUGUGGCCCUAAAAAAAAAAAAA